This 474-nucleotide ribosomal RNA is filed under the name uncultured bacterium. Its description in RNAcentral is "bacterial SSU rRNA". It matches the Rfam family "Bacterial small subunit ribosomal RNA", at positions 335 to 799 of the family's 1533-position model. The record is from RNAcentral.
ACUCCUACGGGAGGCAGCAGUGGGGAAUAUUGCACAAUGGGGGAAACCCUGAUGCAGCCAUGCCGCGUGUGUGAAGAAGGCCUUCGGGUUGUAAAGCACUUUCAGUAGGGAGGAAGGUAGUGUAGUUAACACCUGCAUUAUUUGACGUUACCUACAGAAGAAGCACCGGCUAACUCCGUGCCAGCAGCCGCGGUAAUACGGAGGGUGCGAGCGUUAAUCGGAAUUACUGGGCGUAAAGCGCAUGCAGGCGGCCUGUUAAGUCAGAUGUGAAAGCCCGGGGCUUAACCUCGGAAUUGCAUUUGAAACUGGCAGGCUAGAGUCUUGUAGAGGGGGGUAGAAUUUCAGGUGUAGCGGUGAAAUGCGUAGAGAUCUGAAGGAAUACCAGUGGCGAAGGCGGCCCCCUGGACAAAGACUGACGCUCAGAUGCGAAAGCGUGGGGGAGCAAACAGGAUUAGAUACCCUGGUAGGAUAGCG